AGAGUUUGAUCAUGGCUCAGAAUCAACGCUGGCGGCGUGCCUAACACAUGCAAGUCGAGCGAGAGGAAGUAGCAAUACUUUAGUAAAGCGGCGCACGGGUGAGUAACACGUGGAUAACCUGCCUCGAAGUGGGGAAUAACCCCGGGAAACCGGAGCUAAUACCGCAUAAUCUGACGAGAUCUGUGGAUUUUGUCAGCAAAGGAGCAAUUCGCUUUGAGAGGGGUCCGCGGCUGAUUAGCUAGUUGGUGAGGUAAUGGCUCACCAAGGCAACGAUCAGUAUCCGGUCUGAGAGGACGGUCGGACACACUGGAACUGAGACACGGUCCAGACUCCUACGGGAGGCAGCAGUGGGGAAUUUUUGGCAAUGGGGGCAACCCUGACCAAGCAACGCCGCGUGGGUGAUGAAGUCUCUUGGGACGUAAAACCCUUUCGACGGGGAAGAAACCGCAAGGUUGACGGUACCCGUAGAAGAAGCCCCGGCUAACUCCGUGCCAGCAGCCGCGGUAAUACGGGGGGGGCAAGCGUUGUUCGGAAUUACUGGGCGUAAAGGGUGCGUAGGCGGUUCGCUAAGUCGGAUGUGAAAACUCUGGGCUCAACCCAGAGCCUGCAUCCAAAACUGGCGGGCUAGAGUUCUGGAGGGGGUAGCGGAAUUCCUGGUGUAGCGGUGAAAUGCGUAGAUAUCAGGAGGAACACCGGUGGCGAAGGCGGCUACCUGGACAGAAACUGACGCUGAGGCACGAAAGCUAGGGGAGCAAACAGGAUUAGAUACCCUAGUAGUCC
This 780-nucleotide ribosomal RNA is filed under the name uncultured bacterium. Its description in RNAcentral is "bacterial SSU rRNA". It matches the Rfam family "Bacterial small subunit ribosomal RNA", at positions 8 to 796 of the family's 1533-position model. The record is from RNAcentral.